GAGGAACCCUGCUACUUUCAAAUGUAAGUUGAACCUUCAUUAAUGUAUAUUCUCUCAAUUAUGAAUCUGGUUAUAGUUUUAAAAGAAUAUCUAAUUAGUAGUAUUUGGGCUGCUAUAUUUGUUUUGUUGUUUAACAAUUGAUGAAGUCAGAUCUGGGAAUUUCAAGUGGAAGCUUGAAUUUAUGUUCAGCUGGUUUUACGUGCUGUGAAUUCAUGUUCUUUUUUCUUUAGUUUUAUUUUGAGGUGGUGCAUAAUCACAAAUAGGAAUUAUCUUACCUGUUAGUUUAUAUGUUCCAUAGUCUUGCUUCUUCAACCAGCCCCCUCGCCCUCCUCU
RNAcentral lists this unclassified non-coding RNA (333 nucleotides) under Hevea brasiliensis (rubber tree). The record is from RNAcentral. Lineage: Eukaryota; Viridiplantae; Streptophyta; Magnoliopsida; Malpighiales; Euphorbiaceae.